UAAUACAUGCAAGUCGAGCGCGCCCUUCGGGGUGAGCGGCGGACGGGUGAGUAACGCGUGGGAAUAUGCCCUUCUCUAAGGAAUAGCCUCUGGAAACGGAGAGUAAUACCUUAUACGCCCUUUGGGGGAAAGAUUUAUCGGAGAAGGAUUAGCCCGCGUUAGAUUAGGUAGUUGGUGGGGUAAUGGCCUACCAAGCCUACGAUCUAUAGCUGGUUUGAGAGGAUGAUCAGCCACACUGGGACUGAGACACGGCCCAGACUCCUACGGGAGGCAGCAGUAGGGAAUCUUAGACAAUGGGGGCAACCCUGAUCUAGCCAUGCCGCGUGUGUGAUGAAGGCCCUAGGGUCGUAAAGCACUUUCGCCAGAGAUGAUAAUGACAGUAUCUGGUAAAGAAACCCCGGCUAACUCCGUGCCAGCAGCCGCGGUAAUACGGAGGGGGUUAGCGUUGUUCGGAAUUACUGGGCGUAAAGCGCACGUAGGCGGAUUAGUAAGUUAGAGGUGAAAUCCCAGGGCUCAACCCUGGAACUGCCUUUAAUACUGCUAGUCUUGAGUUCGAGAGAGGUAAGUGGAAUUCCGAGUGUAGAGGUGAAAUUC
RNAcentral lists this ribosomal RNA (594 nucleotides) under uncultured Paracoccaceae bacterium. RNAcentral describes it as "bacterial SSU rRNA". It matches the Rfam family "Bacterial small subunit ribosomal RNA", at positions 49 to 689 of the family's 1533-position model. Lineage: Bacteria; Pseudomonadati; Pseudomonadota; Alphaproteobacteria; Rhodobacterales; Paracoccaceae. The record is from RNAcentral.